GUGGAGCAUGUGGGUUAAUUUGACUCAACGCGGGGAAUCUUACUAGGUCCGGACCGAGUCUAUGAACGUCGUACCGUUGGGUGCUACGUGAUUACUGGAUGAGUGGUGCAUGGCCGUUCUUAGUUCGUGGUGUUAAUUGUCUACUUAAUUGUUUCGGCCAUGUAUCUCUCGGUACAGACCUACAACGAACGAGAUCGAGACCCGUGGGUUGAAUUCGGUAUUACUACGGGGAUCGCGUAACACUCAACGGUACGAUCGAAAGACUCGGCAAUAACAGGUCUGUGAUGCCCUCAGAUGUUCUAGGCUGCACACGUGCUACACUGUGAGUUGUAGUAUAUUGUGUAUGCGUAGAUAUGUCUAAGAUCCCCCGCAUCGAGUCUCAAUUACUCACGAGGUUGGACUCACCGAUUGUUGAAAUUAUUCAGGAUACUAA
This 433-nucleotide ribosomal RNA is filed under the name Amphistegina lobifera. RNAcentral describes it as "SSU rRNA". It matches the Rfam family "Eukaryotic small subunit ribosomal RNA", at positions 1176 to 1606 of the family's 1831-position model. Lineage: Eukaryota; Foraminifera; Rotaliida; Amphisteginidae. The record is from RNAcentral.